This is a long non-coding RNA of Papaver somniferum (opium poppy), 1228 nucleotides long. RefSeq lists it as uncharacterized. NCBI's taxonomy places the organism in Eukaryota, Viridiplantae, Streptophyta, Magnoliopsida, Ranunculales, Papaveraceae. The transcript is spliced from 5 exons. The record is from RefSeq and is a predicted model, not a curated record.
UCAAUAACUUUCACUUCUUUCCAACUUUUCUUCUACAUCCAAAGAAUCGUGAAGCUUCCUAUAUUCCUUUACAAUCUUCACAAUAAAAUUGAAAAUGUCCUUCAAAAAAUUCUUUUGAUUUCGUGAAGCUUUAUACCAUUUUCUUCUGUUAGAUUUGUACUGUUCAUAAAUAAUGAGAUUCUGCUACUAUUUUCUACCUUAAUUUGUCAGAUAAGUUAUCAACACGAUUGUUAGGGUUUUCAUACAUUAAUAUUGUCUAAUCAUAAUUAUUCUUCUGCCCUAAUCGUAUGUUUGAGAUCUUUUACUAUUCUUUUGCCUUUGUAAUUUUACUUAUUCAUGCCCUAAUUUUUGUAAAUUUACUACUGCCUUAAUUUCUAUUGCAGGUUAAUGAAGUUCGGUACAACGUCAAGGAUUUUGGUAUCACAUCAAUCUGGGAGUCCCAAGGGGUCGUACAUGUGUCUAGACUAUCUGAGCUCCUUGGACUCAAGGUUGAAAUGGCAAACGGUUGUAUCGGGAGGAAGUCCAGGAUUUGAUUAAUGCAAUUCGUGCUGGAGGUGUUGUGCUCCUUGAAAAUGUGAGAUUCUACAAAGGAGAAUUGACAAAUGACCCUGAGUUUGCGAGCAAUCUAGCAUCUAUUACUGACAUUUAUGUUAAUGCUUGUUAAUAAUAGCUCACAAAACUGAUGCUUGUGACAAUAUCUGUCAUCUCUGUUACAAGUAAGCAAAGGCAACUCUUCCUUGGUGGAAUCAAAAAAGGUCGUGGCACAAAACAUAUCCAAUGAUCAUCCGACACCCAAGGACCAAUCAUGGAUGAUUGUUGCAGUCCUGACUUUGAGUUGAAUACUUUUACCAGGAAUGUGGAUCCUGCAUUGAUGCGCAAUCUUUCGACAAUUUUGGCUGUGAGGAAUGUACAAAUCAGAAUGCGAAUGGAAAAGAAGGGAAUACUGGUUACCUGAUAUGCAUUGAGCGAUUUGGAGGUAAAGUAUGUCACCACGGAUUUUGUUUCAAAGAAUAAGCCAAGGUCUUCAUAGAAUGUGUCUAAAAUGCUUCUGCACCAAUCUAGGACCCUCCUCAAGGUGAUGAUUGUUUGUAUUGGUUGGUUGUAGUUGGGUGCUAUAUAUGAAAUAAGAAGCGGUUGUAAUCUGUAAAAUAAACUUUGGUUACUAUAGUCACAGAUUAUUAAGAUCAAUUCCAAGCGAAGACUUGCUGAUUUGCAGGACUAUUUGUUA